This 118-nucleotide ribosomal RNA is filed under the name Lepisosteus oculatus (spotted gar). Lineage: Eukaryota; Metazoa; Chordata; Actinopteri; Semionotiformes; Lepisosteidae. The record is from RNAcentral.
GCUAGCAGCUAUAUCACCCUGAACUCACAGCUGACCACCCACUGAAACCCAGCAGGUAUGAGCCUGGUCAGUAUCUGGAUGGGAGACCUCCAGGGAAAAACUAAGGUUAUUGCUGGAA